Long non-coding RNA from Cyanistes caeruleus (blue tit), 305 nucleotides. RefSeq lists it as uncharacterized. NCBI's taxonomy places the organism in Eukaryota, Metazoa, Chordata, Aves, Passeriformes, Paridae. The record is from RefSeq and is a predicted model, not a curated record.
CCUCAUUGGUAUUCACAGGAACAUUUAUAAAGGCUCCCAACAUUAGAGUCUAAAAUUGCUCUCUGCCCACCUUGGAGUGCUCAUCUGGUGUUGCUGCGUCAGGACUGGCUGCUACAGCACAACUCCUGUCACUGCAGACACGGGAGCUCAUUUUAAACAGGUCAUUUUUAAUGCAUCAGAAUGCCAACCACACACAGCCACUGUUCUUUCAGCUGGGACGAAGCACUGGUUUUUUGUGAGGAGACUGCCUCACCUCCAGGGCAGGUCACAGACCCCGAAAGAAAACACUGCAGAUCUGCCAAACC